GCACAAGAAGCCAUGCAUUUCCUUAGAAAAAAGGUGUUGAAUCUUUCCAAGUUCUGCACCAUAGAAUGCUGAGGGGAAAAUGUUUAGCUUGAAGAAAUUUAAAGCCUCCAGACACUUGAAAGGUAACCAAGUCAGGUAAUCCCAGUGUUGCAGAUGAGAGCCGAAACAGGAGGGUUUGAGUGAGCAGAAGACUAGGAUGAGCACUGGGUGUUCCUGCUUCUCCAGCCCCUGACUUCCUGCUGGAAUCUGUAUCAUGGUUACGUAGUUUGGUACCUGGACCACUCUUAACCAUGGAGUCAAAGACUGAGGACACAGAAUAUCUCUGGAAGGAUGUAUACAAAACUAGACACAUUGGGUUGCCUACAAGAAGAAGAAGUGGGCAAGAAAGUGCAAUGCUGUGCUGUGCUCAGUCUCUCAGUUGUGUCCAACUCUCUGCGACCCCAUGGACUGUAGCCCGCCAGGCUCCUCUGUCCGUGGGAUUUCCCAGAUGGAUUCUUUACCACUAAGCCACCUGGGAAGCCCAACAAAGUGUGAAAGAAAUAGAAUUACACUCUUUUGUGCCAAUCCAUCUAUUUUUAAAAAAGUCUCCCUCGUCUCCAGCCAUCAGAAGUCCGCUCAGGCUCUCUUCUGUGAUGUACCCUCAAAGAAUCCAGCCCUCUGUGACUUGGCUCUCAUCCAAAUGUCUAUAACAUUGUAUUGUCUGCUCUACACAUUGGGCCUUCACCCCACACCCUUAUCUUUCAAGGAUAUAUGCAUUGUAUUCCCAAAUAAGAUUCCCAAAUCCUUGAAGGACAAUUUUUCUGAAACUCCCUCUUCCUGGCAGAAGCUUACCCUUGAUUGAUGUCCCAGUGAUAUUCUGUGACUAAUCUAUUCUUUGUGGAAAUUGUAUUCCACAUAUAUGCUUGCUUGAUAUACACAUGAAUCCCAACCUGUACCAUGG
Long non-coding RNA from Bos taurus (domestic cattle), 940 nucleotides. The record is from Ensembl. Lineage: Eukaryota; Metazoa; Chordata; Mammalia; Artiodactyla; Bovidae.